RNAcentral lists this non-coding RNA (27 nucleotides) under Rattus norvegicus (Norway rat). The record is from RNAcentral. Lineage: Eukaryota; Metazoa; Chordata; Mammalia; Rodentia; Muridae.
UCCAUUGUUCAGCCUUGCACCUGGAGA